This 676-nucleotide unclassified non-coding RNA is filed under the name Hevea brasiliensis (rubber tree). Lineage: Eukaryota; Viridiplantae; Streptophyta; Magnoliopsida; Malpighiales; Euphorbiaceae. The record is from RNAcentral.
CCUCAAGAUCCCCUUUCUGUCUUGUUGUUGACAUCUCCAGUAGGCCCACCUUCUCCUUGAGAGAAACAAUCUCAGCUUCUGCAUCAUGUAAUGAAUCAUUACUUCCUUCAAGCUGUUUCAUGAUUGACUCCAGUGAUUCAGAAGCAGACCUCUCCAAAUGACGGGCUUCCUUAGACUGUGCCUCCAAUUCCUCGACUUUCUUCUGACACUCCUCCACUAGAUUAUGUGCAUAAGAUUCAGCCAUCCUAGAAGCCUCCAGAUCGACAUUAAGUUGCUCCAGGAGAGCUUCUUUCUCCACCAAUUUCUCUUCAUAACUUUUUGCCUCCUCGAGUUCUUCUGUCAGUGCCUCUACCUCAAGUUUCAGGUCUUCCAACAACUUAUUCUUCUGACUAUCUUCUUUUCUCAAUGCCUCAAUCUGAAGUUUCAGAUUUUCCAACAAUUUAUUCUUCUCACCAUCAUCUUUUCUCAAUACCUCAUUUGCAAGUUUCAGAUUUUCUAACAUCAUAUUCAUCUCGACAUCUCCUUUUCUCAGUGCCUCUUUCUCAUGUUCCAGAUUUUCCAACAACUUAUUUUUCUCAUCAUCUUCUUUUCUCAGAGCCUCCGUCUCAAGUUUCAGAUUUUCCAACAACUUAUUUUUCUCAUCAUCUUCUUUUCUCAGAGCCUCCGUCUCAAGUUU